RNAcentral lists this ribosomal RNA (253 nucleotides) under uncultured bacterium. RNAcentral describes it as "partial 16S ribosomal RNA". It matches the Rfam family "Bacterial small subunit ribosomal RNA", at positions 524 to 776 of the family's 1533-position model. The record is from RNAcentral.
UACAGAGGAUGCAAGCGUUAUCCGGAAUGAUUGGGCGUAAAGCGUCUGUAGGUGGCUUUUUAAGUCCGCCGUCAAAUCCCAGGGCUCAACUCUGGACAGGCGGUGGAAACUACCAAGCUGGAGUACGGUAGGGGCAGAGGGAAUUUCCGGUGGAGCGGUGAAAUGCGUAGAGAUCGGAAGGAACGCCGGUGGCGAAAGCGACGUGCUGGACCUCUUCUGACGCUGAGGCGCGAAAGCCAGGGGAGCGAACGGG